This 293-nucleotide ribosomal RNA is filed under the name uncultured bacterium. RNAcentral describes it as "partial 16S ribosomal RNA". It matches the Rfam family "Archaeal small subunit ribosomal RNA", at positions 455 to 747 of the family's 1478-position model. The record is from RNAcentral.
GUGCCAGCAGCCGCGGUAAUACCGGCAGCCCAAGUGAUGGCCGCUGUUAUUGGGCCUAAAGCGUCCGUAGCUGGGUCUGAAAGUCCAUCGGGAAAUCCACUCGCUCAACGAGUGGCCGUCCGGUGGAAACUCCACACCUUGGGACCGGAAGGCUCGAAGGGUACGGCCGGGGUAGGAGUGAAAUCCUGUAAUCCCGUCCGGACCACCGAUGGCGAAAGCACUUCGAGAAACCGGAUCCGACAGUGAGGGACGAAAGCUAAGAUCGCGAACCGGAUUAGAUACCCUAGUAGUCC